Molecule: long non-coding RNA, 8544 nt
Organism: Ruditapes philippinarum (Manila clam)
Lineage: Eukaryota; Metazoa; Mollusca; Bivalvia; Venerida; Veneridae
Exons: 2
Source: RefSeq, a predicted model, not a curated record
AUAUCCAAUUUAUAAAAACAUUUCUAAAUCACAAAAAAAUGAAAGGCGAUGAUAUAAUGGUGAUUUACAUUAUUAUGAAAUGGUCUGCACACAUGUAUAUUUCAAUAAAAGAAUAGAAAGGGUGAGUUUUACCAGUCUUCUCUUUUACGAUGUAAACGUAUCAAAAAGUACUUAUCGUUCAAAAAAAUAUAUGUUUAAGGGAACAAAGACUUUAUUUACAUCGACUAUACGCCGUGAGAUCCGCAAAGCUUGUUGCAAAACUAUUUAGUAAAGUAUUUUCUAAAGUUCGUUCUAAUUCUGGAUUUGAUUAUAAAAAGUGUAUUUUUUAACAUGAUAAUCCUUCGCAGCCUUGAAAUAUUGAGGGCAAAUGUGUUUUGUCAGUCCAGUGUUGGAUAUAAUUCAUAAAACAUUAAUCAAUAUAAAACACAUCCUAGGUUCUAACUUAACUUUGUGUCAGCGGGCCUAAAACAUUCGAUGUGUGGCGUAUUAAUUAAGGUAUUAUUGAAUGUCGUCCUGCACGACAUUAUUGUUGUGAGUGCACUUGUUUGGUACUUUAAAGUCCUUCUAAUUUGUUGAUUUCUUAGUCGGGUUGUUCCAAUAUACCUAACUUAAAUAAUGUUGAAUCACCCUUAGUAUAAGUUGCCUGCUUUCUAUUUUUAUUUUUUAACAGCUUAUCUAUGUUAUGCAGCCUUCAUAGCCUUACAUCCCCCGUUUAUCAUAGAACUUUCAAUAGGACAAUUAAGUGCAAUUUCAUGAAAAGCGGCAUAUGGCCCAGGUAAAAAGUGUUUGUGCACUAAAGGAGACAACAAUGGACGGGACUGAAUAAAAUUGAAUUUUUAAGGGGGGUGUAAGUUUAUGAAGGCUAAAUAUUAACAUAGAUAAGCUGUCACAAGACAAAGUUAGAAAGUAGGCAAUUUAUACUAAGGGUGAUUCAACAUGAUUUAAGUGAGGUAUAUUGGAACAACCCACCUAGGAAAACAACAAAUUAGAAAGACUUUAAAGUUGCAUUUAGCGAAACGCGUCAAUAAUAGUGUAGACGCGUUUAAAUAAAAUACUUUGUUGAACUUUUUACGUGUAAAUAAGGUAUAAAUCAUAAUGCACAAAUAUUUUGUUACUUUGAAAUAAAAAAAAGAUAUAAAUGAAUAGAAAUAUUGAUAUUUCUAUCAACAAAAUCAAAAUGAAAGCUGUUGUUUUUAAUGUGACUAUUCAAUUAUAUUAAAACAAAUAUGCUUGUGAAAAUAAUCGUCGACAGAAAAGUGGUAAAAUAAAGAUAGGCUGUAUGGUAUAAACAAGGGUCAAGAGAGGGUCAAAAUGGCCUAAAUGAAGAUAGCAAAACGAGAUAUUACCUCAAUUAACGCAGUUUUAGUAAUUCAUCAGAGGACGAUUUGCACAAGCUUUUCAAAUAUUUUAAAAGAAGUUUUAUAAGAUAUAUCUAUAUACUAAUACGAUCAAUGAGUCCUAAAUCUUAAAACUUACGAAAUUUUCAAAAGAUCAUUACAUGUAGCAUUAUGUUUCUUUAUUCACAUUUAUUGAUUCUUAUCAUUUUUAAGAGUAUCAACCGCUCGUGAAAGUAUCUUAACUACUAGAAUGCCAACUUAUCAUAUAGGACCGUUGUUUUGUGAUAUUGUUUGGUGUACAUGUAAUGAAUAACAUGCAGUAUAUGGUUGAUACGGUGCAUUAGGACUUUUGUAAAUAUCACGGCGUUUUACAACGAUACCAGUCAUAGACGCUAUUGUCAAAUAAUUUAAUCUAACUGUUUCACAAUCUUUUUUUAAUGUAUAAAUUUUUUUCUUCUGACCUGGUGUAAAUAAGGCAUUGGCUGUUUUUGACCCAAACUUGUCUUUGAUUCAAAAGUGUACCAGUUCAUGUAAAAUGUUGAAUUCUGCUUAAGCCGGUGCUAGGGGGCGUGGAUGGUAACUUGCACUUUCCAGUACCGUCCAUGAAAAGGCUCAAUCAAACCGAGCCGUGUUGGGCUUACUUUAGGGAUUCUGUUUCCUCUAUUUCACCAUCGUCUUCUAUACUUGUAGUGUAAAUGCGUAACUUAUAUACACCUCUCCAUCACGAUCAUGACACAUGAAUAAUUUGCAGAUAAUGUUUAAUAUUCAAUAAUAGUAGAUUGGAGCAUUUUCUUCAAAACCAAGCUUUUGCACAAUACCGUUUUAUUAUUGGAAUGGAGUCCUGCAUUAAAACAAAGCUUAUUGCAUUGUAAAUAAAACGUUUUUUGCCACAAAAAAAAAGAUAAAUAUUCUCUUUUAAUUCAAAAUAUGAAAGGCCGAGUUUGACUUAAAAUCUGCAUUGAGCGAGUUUGCAGUUUAAGAGCAAUUCAAAAUAAUAUUGAACUUAUGACACUGUGACCUGUAAUUAAAUACGUAAACUGCACUCUUUGUCCCGAGAGUUUGAUAUAUGUCGAAUUAUUAAGAUUGAAUAAUUCUGAAUCUGGAAGGGAUCAUUUAUUAGUGUGGCUGCCAGAUAUUAUAUAUAAUUUAUUUAAAACAUACUUUGAAACAUUCUGGAAUAAACAAACAGAAAUAUUGGUUACUGAAAGAUAUUGUCAAACCGUGAUGUGAAACAAUAUCGAUAAACAGUUUUUGAUUGCGUUUUCGUUUUAAAAUUUGUAUGGGUUAUGUUAAGGCUGUUUUAUGCUGAUUAGAUACAAUGUAAGUUACAUAAAUACUUUUAAUAAGUCUACAAGCCACAAAACAUUAUAUCAAUACUUUCAACGGAGUUUUAUUGUGUUGCUUUAUGUUGCUGUGCCCGAAGGUAUUCACAACUUACCGAUCAAUUUGAUAAAAUUAAUUUUGAAAACAUAAAAAUUGACCGGAUGAUAAGCAUGUUGUUUGAAAACAUACGGGUGUUUGCAAAAUAUACAUAUUAAAUCACAUACAUUUCAAUGUUGGAAUGGCAUUUAGCACAUUAUAGCGUGUGAAACAUGUAAAUAUGAUUAAUGUCGUUAUUUUAUUAUAGAACGGAUGGCGACAUUCAUAAUUUAGAUGUCUAGUCGUAUACUGCAGCCUGUUAUAACGUGACACCGUAUUUACAGAUAUAUGAGACAUUUGUUGUGCAAUCAUAGAAGUAACUUGAGAAUAUACCAGGUAUAAAGUAAAUUAACGUUCGGUUAUUCAGCGUUAAAUUUAUAACGGUAGCUAGCACCAUGAUAAGUAAGCAAACAUUAGUCAUUAAACAUAAUUCAUCAAAAAGAAUUGUCUUCCAAGGGUUCUUAUAUCAAUCCUAAAUUAAAACACGUGCCUUAAUAACAAAUGUUAAAAAGAGUUUUUAGUAAUAUGUUUAUCUUUGGAAAAACAUAUAUACAAUUCUUGUUUCUUUAUUCCUUGUUUCUUUGUUAAACUUUCUUGAUUCCUUAUCUAACAUUUUGAAAAAAACUUUUGCGAUAACCGUAAAUAAUUAAGUUUCAAUGUAAUUAUAUUAUCAUUACAAAUGUAACUGACUAUCAAAAUACUGAAAUGAUAUAAUUUGUAUAAAUUGGACAUAAAUGUUAUUUUCAUCUCCUGUUACUUUGUAAUUGUCUUGACAGAAUAUUAAAUGAUUUUGUUCGUGUUUUUUUCCGGUGUGUAUAUUAAAAAUAAUUUUGACAUAAGUCUGUAAUCAAACAAAUAAUAGAGAAGGGUUAUGUUUCCAGUAUCUAGUUAAUCUUUUUCAUCAUUACGCACAUAAAUGAAAAGUAGAAUAAACAGUGUUUUUCGUCAUUAUAUUGACAAAGUACUAAUUAAAAAGAAAUAAAAACAAAAAUAGGAAUUGUAUAUUUAUAAAGCUUGAAUAAAUUAAGCGUUUCGCAACAGCUUGUUGCUUUUCAAAACCCAGAGUUUCUCAAUGAUAAUAUUGAUAAAGAGAUCGAACAACGUGGCAGGGUAUGUAAAUUAAAGAUUCAUUUUUAUUUCUACACAAUUAUUUUGUAAAUGUAUGCAGUUAAACUUUUAUUGUUUGUAUGCAUUCAAAUUACGAUAUUUUCAUAUUUGAUGGCCCAGUCACAUUCUUAAUAUGUCAAUAAGUACAUAUUAUAUCAUGACAUGUUCUAAGAAUGAGUUUACUAAGCGCAUUCUUAUACUAGUUAUUUUUUUUAUAUAUGUUAUAGACCGUUGGUUAUUAAGCUGUCACAACAUAUUGCUCCGUUAUUUAGAUACCCGCCUGUUUCUUAUUGUACAAAUAGAUGUCAUGUGUAACAAUAUUGCAAUGUUUUACACGGUACAUAUUUCAUAUAUUUAUUGUAGUCCGUCUUACCCAUGUCUUUAUGUACGUUUAUCGUUAGAAGAUUUUUUUGUCUUUUACUGAAUAUUUUAUCUUUCUAAAGUAGUACAAAAACCACCAUAAAACUGUAAACAUAAAAAUUGCUAGGUUUUAUUGUACACUAUUUGAUUGAUGAAAUAUUUGCAUAAGAAGCCGAUAUGAUAAGGAAAAAGGUUCGUGGGAGAAACGUAUUUGUCUGCUGUUCGUGCAAACAGAUAAACGACAAUGUGAAAAUAAUAUUCUGUUGUUAUAGAAAAAGCUAAACAGAAUGAUACAGAGCAUAAUCGACAAAGGGAUACACUUAAUAUAAUUGAAUAUGAAAACAUGCCAUAUUUCUUUAUGUAGUAGAUGCAGGUGCAUAUGACUAAUACUCGAAUUUUGAAAACCAUAAUAUAUUAUCAAAAGACGUGCACACUAUUGUAAUGUAACACGAUAACGCCAAAAAUUACCUUUAUAUUUUUUUAAUAUCUUGUUAAAUAUACUUAUUUUUCAGCAUAUUUCAAGACAUUAAAAUAAUAAGGUUAUACAGGUACUCAUCAAUAAGUUAUGUUAUGUACGUUAAGAUCUUUGAAAAUUACAAAAAUUCAAUUAAACAGUUUUUCCUUGAAAUAAGCACAAUACCGGUAUUUCGAUAAAAAGGCGUUAAACUUAAGAUGAUGUUUCGUGUACACUUUUAUUAAUGUAUUUCCUAGUUAUAAAUAGCUCACACGAAAAGUUGUUCUACCAUGUCAUAAUUAAAAUUCAUUAUUAUCUUGAUAAAAUAAACACGCUUUUUGUGCUAAAUUAAUGACAAGAAUUUUGUCUAAUUAUUCCAAGUUCCUUUAGAUUAAAAUUGCUAACAGACCGACAAAAAAUCUUCUAUUAUACGACUGUGCUAUGGUAUUUUCAUGUUUUGAACAGAUUCAGCAUUUAUAUAAUGGCAGAUUUAACCGAAGUAUGACCGAAGGGUUAUUCAACAUCAGAAGAGAGAAUCGGCCCAGACUUUUUCGGUUCAAAUAGAAAAUAGUCUCGGGGAAUAGUACAUAUGUGUUAUGUAAAAUGUAUAAGUGUGUGUACUAAAACUACGAAAUGUAACACUUAAUGACAGUGAUGAUUCGAAUUAGCAAGCAAAACAUUACAAACAAUGGCUAUUGAAACUUCAAGGAAGAAGUAAUCGAGAGGUAAUCGAGUGGUGCUUGGGAAUUCGUUAAUUAAUCAGAUUUAAGAAGAAAGAAACAGUGAUUUGACAUUAAACAAUCAAUAAGAUGAUACUGGAUAUUAAUAUAAAAAGGCGUCAAAUAAGGAAUAACCAUAAAAUACGGAUAAAACGGAUAAAAGACAAGUGAUGCAUUGGAACAAACGCAAAUAAUUUUGAAUGCGCGCUGAAGACAUCAGGCAUAAACAUUUAACUUUGAAGUUGCUGAAGUGAUUUUGGUAUUCUCAAUUCAUCAUGUUUCAACUAAAGUUUUUUUGUUUUUCUUUUUUUUAAGAAUCAAACUUGUUACUAGUAUUUGAUUCCGCUAAAAAUAUAAUUCCGGGAAAUGUAUAAAUAAUAUGUCUUAUCAGUGCUUUGAGUUUUGUGUAAUAUAAUAUUGCGCAAUAUUAUCAUAUUUGAUAAGUAUGGAUUUCUGAUACAUAUUGUGCCAUAAACUUCUGUUUGUUCAUAAUAUUUGAUAUUAAAUACUUAAAGGCACGUCAUGCCUCAAAAAUGCUGUUAGUUUCAUUUAUGUUUGGUAUCUUGUUACCGUUUUAUAAAAAUAGUACGCACUCAUUGUCCAUAUAGAACAAUUUUGUGAUUGAUAUAUUUUGGGACAUAUUGUGCCUUUAACCUUUUUAAAAUUUUGAUACUAGCUUUUAACAUCCAAUAUCUUUCUUUGAUAAACAUCUUUUCUUAAUAUGUUAAAUAUGUUUCAAUGUUCAAAUUGAUUUUUAUUUUUGUUUCUGAUUUUCGAUAUCAGUUAGGAAAUUAGACAUGAGAUCAGAAAUCUCCAUAAAUAAUUUAUUAGUUAUUAUCAUUACAUUUGAUGAAUGUUCAGUAACCUCAACUUUGUCUUAUUUUUAGUUUGUUUAAAUAACAAUGCAAAAAAUUUUAUGAUGAAAAUUGAAACUUUAAGCUCUUUCUAUGCUAUGCAUAAAUUUUAUUGCAAGUUAAAUAAAACAUAUCAUUGAACAUACGUUUGAAUAUAUUUAGGACUAUAGUUGUAAUAACAAGGCAGCAUGGCUUAAAACGGCCGAACAUUUUUAAGAUACUUUUGUUGUUAGAUAAAAUUAAUAGUUUAGUUUCAUUUUCAGUUAUGUAUCCAUAUUGUUUCUUUUGUUUGUUUUUAUUUAAGUUUAACUUGUGUUACAUAAUUGUUAUCAUAAAGUAAGUAAUAUAUAUUUUAUUAUAUUAUUUUUAAAACGCAUUCUUUUAAAUGAAAUACCUGAAGAUAGUGUAGAACUUCUCACAAAUUGUGUUAUUAAUCAAUUUAAUGUUUAACUUUUAUUAUGUCUGCGUAAUGCGUAAUGGACUAUUAGUGCUAGCAUUUCUCAGGGCAGUGUAUUUAUUGACUUCUAGCUAAAAUGAUUAAUGUAAAAUCGACUGUCAGUUUUACAACUAGAGAUUGUACGAUUAGCCUAGAAUGAAAGCUUAUAAGUUUUACAAUUUCUUUGAGUAAAGAUAUUUAAGAACAUUGAAUUGUCACUUUUAGAACAUACAUGGAUAACAAACAGUUACAUUUUAAAUGUCCGCAUAAUCUUGAAUAUUAUUUCAAAAUUAUUAGCAGUUGAAGACGUGUCAUAUUACCAUAAAAUCUUUUAAAAUAAAACGUUGGUUGAAUGAGCUCUGUCUUCUUUCUGAACCGGGUUAUAUAAUUAUGAUAUUUACUCAUCAUUAAAACAAAAGAUUUUCAUGACACCAAACUCACAUCAUCGCAUAUACAAUUAAUAUUGAUAAACCGCAUUUUUUACUACAUUUUAACCAUUUGAUGUUUUUUUUUCACUUUUCAAGCACUUUGUAUUACAUCAAUAAUUUAUGUAUUUAUUUAUUUUAACUAAUUAAUUAAUUAAUUUAUUUAUUAAUUGAUUUUUUUAAUUUAUUUAUGUUAUCUUUAUUUCUUCAUUUUAUUUAUUCAUCAUUAAUAAAUUGAUUUAUUUAUUUACUUAAUUAUUUAUUCAUUUAUUUAUUUACUAGUUUUCAUAUAGUUAUACAUGUAUUUACUUAUAUUUACUUAUCUAUUCAUCCCUUUAUUUAUUUAUGAAUAAUUAAAAAAAGGAUAAAGUAAAAAUCUUCCUAUCAUGAAAUGCUAUAUAAACUGCUUUAAAAAAACAUGUACUUUACGAGUAAAUUGCCUGUUCAUUUUGUUAAACGUUAGAAAGCAAAGGAGCUUAUCUUUCACCUAUUUGCCACUUCAAACAACUUUUCUAUGUCCUUCCUGAAUUUAUGGGUAUUUUGGAAAAACACAUACCGGUAAAUAUAACAGUUAUAUUGUUAAAGCACAAUAUUUAAGACUUCUAAGCAUAGAUACUAUAGUAAAAUGAGAAAAAUAGUAUAAUAUUAAACUAAAAAUAACGGACAAUUUUUUUUCUCAUUUUAAUAUCAUUAUUAUUAUUAUAAUUUGUUUAUUUGUGUUAUCAUUAUUAUUUUAUUUAUUAUCUAAAUAAAUAGAGGAUAUUCAAGAUUUUUCUAUAAAUACAUGAUUUAUUUUCAUCGAGUGGUAUGAAAAUAAAUAUUUCAUGAGUGGCGGUAGCCACGAGUGAAAUAUGGUAAUUUUCAUGCUACAAGAUGAAAAUAAAUCAUGUAUUUAUAGAAAAAACUUGAAUUUUCUGUUAAUUAUAUGCAUUUUUCUCUUUUUGACAUUAAAAUUUGAAAGACUUUCCCUUAAAUUUUGUGUACUGGCAGAAUUUAAAAGAAAGUAGUCCGGCAAGACACCAGUGAAAAUACGGAAAAUAUGUUUCACUGCUGUGAAAAAUAGAUUUUUAUAGUUAAAAUACGGAAAAUGAAAAUACGCAUUUUAUUACAUCAAUAUUUUUCAAUAUUUCAUUUAUAAGUAUAUAAUAAAUAUUAUAUAUUUGCGCUAGUUUUUUUCCUAAAAAAGGUGAUAAUUAAUGUAAAUAAUGAUUACACUUUAGGUAAAUGGAUAAGUAUUUUGUAUAAACAGAUAGCUGAUUGACAAUAAUAUGUUAUUACUAGCUUGAAAAAUAUGAUAUCAAUAUCAGUUUUUGAUAGCUUUUAAAUAUUUUUUCUAAUAUUUGUUUUAUUUACUACAUAUUCUCACUGUAACAAUAUGAUGCAUGAUGGAAAAUGUUAAAUAAAGUAACGAAUUGUCACCAAAAUAAAACAAA